Molecule: ribosomal RNA, 253 nt
Filed under: uncultured bacterium
Lineage: Bacteria
Description: partial 16S ribosomal RNA
Rfam family: Bacterial small subunit ribosomal RNA
Source: RNAcentral
UACAGAGGGUGCGAGCGUUAAUCGGAAUUACUGGGCGUAAAGCGUGCGUAGACGGCUAUCUAAGUCGGGUGUGAAAGCCCCGGGCUCAACCUGGGAAUUGCAUUCGAGACUGAAUAGCUAGGGUACGGUAGAGGGAAGCGGAAUUUCCGGUGUAGCGGUGAAAUGCGUAGAUAUCGGAAGGAACAUCAGUGGCGAAAGCGACUUCCUGGACCAAUACUGACGCUGAGGUGCGAAAGCGUGGGGAGCAAACAGG